CACGGGGGGAGCAAGCGUUGUUCGGACUCACUGGGCGUAAAGGGCGUGUAGGCGGUCAGAUAAGUGGAAUGGGAAAUGCCCCGGCUCACCCGGGGACCGGCAUCCCAAACUGUCUGGCUUGAGUAUGGGAGAGGAUGAGGGAAUUCCUGGUGUAGCGGUGAAAUGCGUAGAUAUCAGGAGGAACACCGGUGGCGAAGGCGCUCAUCUGGCCCAAUACUGACGCUGAUGCGCGAAAGCUAGGGGAGCAAACGGG
This 253-nucleotide ribosomal RNA is filed under the name uncultured bacterium. RNAcentral describes it as "partial 16S ribosomal RNA". It matches the Rfam family "Bacterial small subunit ribosomal RNA", at positions 524 to 776 of the family's 1533-position model. The record is from RNAcentral.